GACGAACGCUGGCGGCAUGCUUAACACAUGCAAGUCGAACGGAAAGGCCCUGCUUUUGUGGGGUGCUCGAGUGGCGAACGGGUGAGUAACACGUGAGUAACCUGCCCUUGACUUUGGGAUAACUUCAGGAAACUGGGGCUAAUACCGGAUAGGAGCUCCUGCUGCAUGGUGGGGGUUGGAAAGUUUCGGCGGUUGGGGAUGGACUCGCGGCUUAUCAGCUUGUUGGUGGGGUAGUGGCUUACCAAGGCUUUGACGGGUAGCCGGCCUGAGAGGGUGACCGGCCACAUUGGGACUGAGAUACGGCCCAGACUCCUACGGGAGGCAGCAGUGGGGAAUAGUGCACAAUGGGCGGAAGCCUGAUGCAGCAACGCCGCGUGCGGGAUGACGGCCUUCGGGUUGUAAACCGCUUUCGCCUGUGACGAAGCGUGAGUGACGGUAAUGGGUAAAGAAGCACCGGCUAACUACGUG
Molecule: ribosomal RNA, 468 nt
Filed under: uncultured bacterium
Lineage: Bacteria
Description: partial 16S ribosomal RNA
Rfam family: Bacterial small subunit ribosomal RNA
Source: RNAcentral